This 1575-nucleotide ribosomal RNA is filed under the name human gut metagenome. RNAcentral describes it as "bacterial LSU rRNA". It matches the Rfam family "Bacterial large subunit ribosomal RNA", at positions 842 to 2426 of the family's 2925-position model. The record is from RNAcentral.
GAAAUAGCUGGUUCUCCUCGAAAUAGCUUUAGGGCUAGCCUCACUAAAGAAAUGUACGCAGGUAGAGCACUGAAUUGGCUAGGGGGCCACAAAGCUUACCGAACCUUAUCAAACUUCGAAUGGCGUACAUGGAUGAGUGGGAGUCAGACAGUGGGAGCUAAGUUUCAUUGUCAAAAGGGAAACAGCCCAGAUCAUCAGCUAAGGUCCCAAAGUAUAGGUUAAGUGGCAAAGGAUGUGAGGAUGCUAAGACAACCAGGAUGUUGGCUUAGAAGCAGCCACUCAUUUAAAGAGUGCGUAAUAGCUCACUGGUCGAGUGAUCUUGCGCCGAAAAUGUCCGGGGCUAAACCUAUCACCGAAGCUAUGGAUUUACAUCGGAUGAUGUAAGUGGUAGAGGAGCAUCGUAUGCGGGCUGAAGUCGUACCGUAAGGAGCGAUGGACUGCAUAGGAGAGAGAAUGCUGGCAUGAGUAACGAGAGGGUGGUGAGAAUCCACCCCAUCGAAAGCCUAAGGUUUCCUGGGGAAGGUUCGUCCGCCCAGGGUAAGUCGGGGCCUAAGCCGAGGACUAGAUGGUCGUAGGCGAUGGACAACAGGUUGAUAUUCCUGUACUACCCGAAGCGUCUGAGAGAAGCAGUGACACAGAAGGAUAGGUCAAGCGGGUUGAUGGUAGAACCCGUCCAAGCAUUGAGGCUGUGUGGAUAGUAAAGUACGUCCGCAUAAAGCUGGGGUGUGAUGGGGACAGAACAUAAGUAUGGAAGUGACUGAAUUCACGCUGGCGAGAAAAGCUGCUAUCGAGCAGAAGGGUACCCGUACCGCAAACCGACACAGGUAGGCGAGGAGAGAAUCCUAAGAUGAGCGAGAUAACCCUUGUUAAGGAACUCGGCAAAAUGACUCCGUAACUUCGGGAGAAGGAGUGCCACGAAAGUGGUUGCAGUGAAUAGGCCCAUGCAACUGUUUAUCAAAAACACAGGUCUGUGCAAAAUCGAGAGAUGAUGUAUACGGGCUGACGCCUGCCCAGUGCUGGAAGGUUAAGGGGAACUGUUAGCGCAAGCGAAGCAUUGAACCGAAGCCCCAGUGAACGGCGGCCGUAACUAUAACGGUCCUAAGGUAGCGAAAUUCCUUGUCGGGUAAGUUCCGACCCGCACGAAAGGCGUAAUGAUUUGAGCGCUGUCUCAACAAGGGACUCGGUGAAAUUGUAGGGCUGGUAAAGAUGCCAGCGACCCGCGACUAGACGGAAAGACCCCGUAGAGCUUUACUGUAGCUUGGUAUUGAGUUUUGACAUUGGAUGUACAGGAUAGGUGGGAGACUGAGAGAUGAUGGCGUCAGCUGUCAAGGAGUCGCCGUUGGGAUACCACUCUUGCGAUGUUGGAAUUCUAACAACGACCCGUGAACCGGGCGUUGGACAGUGCCAGGUGGGCAGUUUGACUGGGGCGGUCACCUCCGAAAGAGUAACGGAGGUGCCCAAAGGUCUCCUCAGCAUGGUUGGAAAUCAUGUGUUAGAGUGUAAAGGCAUAAGGAGGCCUGACUGCGAGACUGACAAGUCGAGCAGAGACGAAAGUCGGGCUUAGUGAUCCGGUGG